GCCAGCAUAGUGUAGUGGUUUAAAUGUCAGACUUGGACUCUCCAGAUCAGGGUUCAAAUCCCCACUUGGCC
Non-coding RNA from Phrynosoma platyrhinos (Desert horned lizard), 71 nucleotides. The record is from the annotation of a GenBank genome assembly. NCBI's taxonomy places the organism in Eukaryota, Metazoa, Chordata, Lepidosauria, Squamata, Phrynosomatidae.